RNAcentral lists this ribosomal RNA (253 nucleotides) under uncultured bacterium. Its description in RNAcentral is "partial 16S ribosomal RNA". It matches the Rfam family "Bacterial small subunit ribosomal RNA", at positions 524 to 776 of the family's 1533-position model. The record is from RNAcentral.
CACGUAGGGGGCGAGCGUUGUCCGGAGUUACUGGGCGUAAAGGGCAUGCAGGCGGUCCGACACGUUUUGUGUGACAGCGGGUGGCUUAACUACCCGAGGAUGCGAAAGACGGUUGGACUUGAGGACUCGAGAGGGACACGGAAUUCCGGGUGGAGUGGUGAAAUGCGUAGAGAUCCGGAGGAACACCGAAGGCGAAGGCAGUGUCCUGGCGAGUGACUGACGCUGAGGUGCGAAAGCCAGGGGAGCGAACGGG